Choloepus didactylus (southern two-toed sloth) is the source of this 770-nucleotide long non-coding RNA. RefSeq lists it as uncharacterized. The record is from RefSeq and is a predicted model, not a curated record. The transcript is spliced from 3 exons. Lineage: Eukaryota; Metazoa; Chordata; Mammalia; Pilosa; Megalonychidae.
GCGAGGCCAUCGGAGGGCUCCCAGCCCCCUCUGAGGCCACCUUCCCGAUCCUGAGGCCAGAACAGAGCUCGGGGGGUCUUCCAGGGUCCAUAGGUCGCUGGAGCACACAGGGAGUGGCCUGCAGGAGGCGACCGCAGGUGUCCUCUAGGGGAUGUAGAGGGCUGAGGAGUGAGCACUUGAGUGACGCUUACCUGCUGGACCUUGACCUGCAGUGUCCCAGGGCGGCCCUGACCUUGUAGCUCUUACUGCUGGGGGUGGGACAGCCAGUCACCCCCCGGGAUCCCUGGCCAGUGACUUCUUGCUAGGUCUGAAGUGGGAGGCACUGACCAGAGACUAAAAAGCAAGAGGUGGGGAGAAGCUCCCUGCUCUGGCUUUGACGUGGCUGGUGAUUGCCGUGGUGACGGCAGAGGUGGUCCGGUUCCAGAUGCUCACAGUCAGGGCAGCAGCAGCUUCUUCUCAUCGGCCCCUCUGGGAUUCGGCCUCUUCUGGGAAUAAAGACUGAGCAUGGCCACGUCUCCAGCAGCAGGUGCAGAAGCUUCUACUGCAGUACCUGACACGCAGGCAUCAGAGGGAGAGCUGCCGAGCGCUGGCCCUGCCCUUGAAGGCUGGGGGGGUUGGACUCUGUGCUACACCUGCUCUUCCGACUGCCCGCGGGAGCAGUUUCGGGGCUGAGGCAGUUUCCUUCAGAAACGUCAUUGCCUAAGCAGAGGAAGACCCUUUGCCUGCAGCCGUCCCCAGGACUGUCAGUGGGGCAGAACUGACAUGGGCCC